RNAcentral lists this ribosomal RNA (629 nucleotides) under Salmonella enterica subsp. enterica. RNAcentral describes it as "partial 23S ribosomal RNA". It matches the Rfam family "Bacterial large subunit ribosomal RNA", at positions 711 to 1255 of the family's 2925-position model. Lineage: Bacteria; Pseudomonadati; Pseudomonadota; Gammaproteobacteria; Enterobacterales; Enterobacteriaceae. The record is from RNAcentral.
AGACCCGAAACCCGGUGAUCUAGCCAUGGGCAGGUUGAAGGUUGGGUAACACUAACUGGAGGACCGAACCGACUAAUGUUGAAAAAUUAGCGGAUGACCUGUGGCUGGGGGUGAAAGGCCAAUCAAACCGGGAGAUAGCUGGUUCUCCCCGAAAGCUAUUUAGGUAGCGCCUCGUGAAUUCAUCUCCGGGGGUAGAGCACUGUUUCGGCUAGGGGGCCAUCCCGGCUUACCAACCCGAUGCAAACUGCGAAUACCGGAGAAUGUUAUCACGGGAGACACACGGCGGGUGCUAACGUCCGUCGUGAAGAGGGAAACAACCCAGACCGCCAGCUAAGGUCCCAAAGUCAUGGUUAAGUGGGAAACGAUGUGGGAAGGCCCAGACAGCCAGGAUGUUGGCUUAGAAGCAGCCAUCAUUUAAAGAAAGCGUAAUAGCUCACUGGUCGAGUCGGCCUGCGCGGAAGAUGUAACGGGGCUAAACCAUGCACCGAAGCUGCGGCAGCGAACGUAUCACUUAAAGCGAUUCAGCGGGUUACGAUUGACGGAGCGAAGCGACGUCAAAGCGUAUACAAAGUCGAGUCGGUUUAAGGAUACGUUCGUUGGGUAGGGGAGCGUUCUGUAAGCCUGCGAAG